This 359-nucleotide ribosomal RNA is filed under the name uncultured soil bacterium. RNAcentral describes it as "bacterial SSU rRNA". It matches the Rfam family "Bacterial small subunit ribosomal RNA", at positions 26 to 393 of the family's 1533-position model. The record is from RNAcentral.
AGAUUGAACGCUGGCGGCACGCCUUACACAUGCAAGUCGAACGGCAGCACGGGAGCAAUCCUGGUGGCGAGUGGCGAACGGGUGAGUAAUACAUCGGAACGUGCCCAGUUGUGGGGGAUAGCCCGGCGAAAGCCGGAUUAAUACCGCAUACGACCUACGGGUGAAAGCGGGGGAUCGGCAAGACCUCGCGCUAUUGGAGCGGCCGAUGUCGGAUUAGCUUGUGGUAGGUAAANCCUACCAAGGCUACGAUCCGUAGCUGGUCUGAGAGGACGACCAGCCACACUGGGACUGAGACACGGCCCAGACUCCUACGGAGGCAGCAGUGGGAAUUUGGACAAUGGCGAAGGCCUGAUCCAGCC